UGGGGAAUUUUGGACAAUGGGCGCAAGCCUGAUCCAGCCAUGCCGCGUGCGGGAAGAAGGCCUUCGGGUUGUAAACCGCUUUUGUCAGGGAAGAAAUCUUCUGAGUUAAUACCUCGGGAGGAUGACGGUACCUGAAGAAUAAGCACCGGCUAACUACGUGCCAGCAGCCGCGGUAAUACGUAGGGUGCAAGCGUUAAUCGGAAUUACUGGGCGUAAAGCGUGCGCAGGCGGUUUUGUAAGACGGAGGUGAAAUCCCCGGGCUCAACCUGGGAACUGCCUUUGUGACUGCAAGGCUUGAGUGCGGCAGAGGGGGAUGGAAUUCCGCGUGUAGCAGUGAAAUGCGUAGAUAUGCGGAGGAACACCGAUGGCGAAGGCAAUCCCCUGGGCCUGCACUGACGCUCAUGCACGAAAGCGUGGGGAGCAAACAGGAUUAGAUACCCUGGUAGUCCACGCCCUAAACGAUGUCAACUGGUUGUUGGGAAGGUUCCUUCUCAGUAACGUAGCUAACGCGUGAAGUUGACCGCCUGGGGAGUACGGCCGCAAGGUUGAAACUUAAAGGAAUUGACGGGGUCAUAGCUGUUUCCUG
Molecule: ribosomal RNA, 586 nt
Filed under: uncultured bacterium
Lineage: Bacteria
Description: partial 16S ribosomal RNA
Rfam family: Bacterial small subunit ribosomal RNA
Source: RNAcentral